RNAcentral lists this ribosomal RNA (465 nucleotides) under Triticum aestivum (bread wheat). Its description in RNAcentral is "partial small subunit ribosomal RNA". Lineage: Eukaryota; Viridiplantae; Streptophyta; Magnoliopsida; Poales; Poaceae. The record is from RNAcentral.
AUGGGUAUGGGUUCCAGAGAGCGUAGGGUUGUGUGGUGCGUAGGCCUGCUCGUCGCCGGGCUUCUUGUCGCGGCGGCGGAGUCAGAUUACUGCACUGGCAUCUGCCGUAACAGUCCCAAAUUCAAGAUCUGCUACUUUCAGUGCAAAGCUGCCACAGCGCCUCCUCACGGAGGUCCGAGAUCAACCGAAGAAGAAGAGCAUCUGCAUCUGCAUGGGCCGGCGGGGAGUCAAGAGGAGGAGAAGUUGAUGUCGCCAAGGCGCCGCCAAGAUGGAGGUACUUCUACCGUGACCGGGUGGCAGGCGCAGCCUGAGGCUGUUGCACCGUGCGAGACGAUGGAUUAUGUGUCGUGCAUGAUGUGCUGCUAUGCGCAACCUCCGGAUUCUCCCGGCAAGUUCAAAAGAUGCAUAAGCCACUGCAGGAACGGCAACCUAGCCAUGGUAGUGAGAGGUUCAGAGCUUAGUUAG